Molecule: non-coding RNA, 202 nt
Filed under: Sphingomonas sp.
Lineage: Bacteria; Pseudomonadati; Pseudomonadota; Alphaproteobacteria; Sphingomonadales; Sphingomonadaceae
Source: RNAcentral
AAGGGCGCGGAUGCGACAGGUUCCCAGAAAUGGGAUGAAAAGGGAACCCGGAAGCGCGUGCAUUACGCGCCAUCCGGGGCUGCCCCCGCAACUGUGACCGGCGAGCCCUGCUCCUCCGUGCGCCACUGGACCCCAGGUCCGGGAAGGCCGGGCAAGGCGAUGACCCGCGAGCCAGGAGACCUGCCCGUCGCGGUUGUCCUUC